Molecule: long non-coding RNA, 3301 nt
Organism: Acinonyx jubatus (cheetah)
Lineage: Eukaryota; Metazoa; Chordata; Mammalia; Carnivora; Felidae
Exons: 2
Source: RefSeq, a predicted model, not a curated record
AGCCAUUUCUAUAGAGACAGAAAGAUGAGUGGUUUCCUGGGGCCGGGGGCUUGCUGGGAGAAGAAGGGGAUGAGAACUAAAGGCAUGGGUUUCGUUGCGGGGUGGUGGAAAUGUUCUAAAUUUGAUUGUGGCGUCGGUUGUACAAGUUUGUACUAAAAAGCAUCGAAUUGUUCACUUGCAAGGAGUGAAUUGUAUGGUAUGUGAAUCAUACCUCAAUAAAGCCUUUACAAAAGCGAAACGAAAAAGAAAGAAAACAAAGCGCGUCUUUGUGAGGCCUGGCUCUCCCUGCACCUCUCGGCCAGGACCGCUUUGGAAAUACUUGGCAACGAGAAGAACCGGAGAGAGCUGUGACCCACAACGGUGUUCCUACCACAUCGAGGGCUCAAAAGCAGUGACCCAAGGCAGCUGCCAAACAUCCGUCAGUAUUGCACCACCGAGAAAACAUCUGGGAUCCAAAGUUGCAGCUGCCCUCGGCCUCAGAGACAGUCAGCCACGAGACUGCUGGACACUUCUGUGGGUCCAGGGCUGGCUUGGUAUCGACAUCGAGGCAGGAAAAGAAACUGGAGCCUCUCACAGCCCCUCAGAUGGGGCGGGGCUCCUGGGGUGACUCUUAUCCAGGUUGCUCGAGACUGGCCCGGUUUUAGCAUCGAAAACCCCACACACCCAGGAAACCCUGUGUUUCGUCCGGACAAACCGGACAGCUGGUCACCCAGAUUCCUCACAGACCCCUGAAAGCAAAGGGCCAGGCUGAAAGACUCCUGGAAAGGCCACAAGAACGGCUUUCACUCUCCCUCUGCUCCGAUAGCCACAGUGACUGAAAGGAGUCCUGGAGAAGGGAGAGAAGAGGGUCUUACUGUAAGCCUGGCAACCCACUUUCCAGAAACAGAAAACAAGAAGCCAGACUUGAGAAUCAGGCCCUUGGCCAGGGCAGCGUGGCCACUCCUGGCCUUUGGGGAGGGGUCUCCAUCACAGAGCCACCCGUGGGGCCCAGCGGGCACUUGCUUCCUUCAGCUCCCAUGCUCACCCUUGAGGGGGUAAACUGUCACUGAUUGUGAUGUUUAAUUUCAUAUGUCAACUUGACUGGGCGACAGGGCACCCAGAUAUUUGAUCAAAUAUUUUUCUGAGUGUGCCUGUGAGGGUGUUUCUGGAUGUGAGUAAAGGGAAUCGCUGUCUCGAAUGCGGGUGGGCUUCAUUUAAUCAGGUGAGGGGCCUGAAUAGUCCAAAAGGGCUGACCAUCCCCUGACUUACAGAGAGUUCUUCCUGCCUGACAGCCUCUGAAGGCAUCAGGUCUUGCUGGGUUUCAAGCCUGCCAGUCUUUGGACUAUACUUUGGCGCUUCAUUUUAGGCUUUUGGACUCAGACUGGAAUUAAACCAUCAGUGCUCCUGGGCUUGUCAACUCAGCUGCAGAUCUUGGGGCUGCUGGUCUCCAUUAUCAUGCAAGCAAAUUCUGUAUAAUCUCUCUCUCUCCUAUUGGUUCUUUUUUUUUUUUAAUAUUUAAUGUUUAUUAUCAUUUAUUAUUUUAAUUGUUUUAAUGUUUAUUUAUUUUUGAAAGAGAGACAGGGAGAGAGAAUGCGAGCAAGGGGAGGGGGGCAGUGAGAGAGGGAGACACAGAAUCUAAAGCAGGUUCCAGGCUCUGAGCUGUCAGCACAGAGCCCCACGUGGGGCUCAAGCUCAGGAACCAAGAGAUCAUGAUCCAGCGCAAGUCAGACCAUUAACCGACUGAGCCACCCAGGCGCCCCCUAUUGGUUCUUUUUUUUUGAAAAGCCCUAAUACACUGAUGGGUCCCGCUCUCUCUCUGCCCUACUCAGUCAACGACCUUCAAAUGAAGAUGUUGAUUUUUGGUAAUUUUGGAAGACUCAGGCUGGUGAUGAUGUCAACGUCAAGGCAAGGAAGCAGUCAGUUUCACUAGGGGCUAGUUCUUGUGCCGACUUCACGAAUUUAUGAAUGGCUGUGGCAAGAAAGGCCCGCUCCUCCCCUGGUCUUGCCUGUUUGGGGAGUGGGUACUCAGUAUACUCACUGUCCUGUGUGGACGUGUCAGAAAUAGAGACAUCGUUGAGUCCGUUUUGUUCUCAGUCUCAAAGCCUCUGGAGAGCUGGUAACAUAAACCCUAAGGUCUUGUGGGGCCUGACAUACUGUGAGCUUUAGACACUGACCCCACACAGCUAGCAUCACUCACCAACUUGCUCUGAAACAGGAAAGAAUACGUGUUCCGACCCCAUUCGGUCUUUCUUUUUUUUUUUUUUUUUUUUAAUUUUUAUUCAUUUUUUGGUAGAGACAGAGUGUGAGUGGGGGAGGGGCAGACACCGAAUCCGAAGCGAGCUCCGAAUCCGAAUCUGAGCGGUAGCACAGAGCCGGGCGCGGGGCUCGAACUCAGGAACCGCGAGAUCGCCCAACCGACUGAGCCACCCAGGCGCCCCUCCCGGGCAGUCUUUCUUACCCGACUGCAGAAAUAGUUCUUGGCCUGAAAUCUCACUUCAAAUGUGGGUUUAAGGUGUUCUUUUUAGAGGACUUCAGACACUGCCAGGACGCCGGGAGCAACCUUUUUCAGGACGCAAAGCUCGGUGCCCUUAACUUCCGGAAGAGGAGGAAAAGCACAAUCUCUGAACUAGGUUAGGUCUUCUGGAGAGUGUUCAUCGGCUUCAGCUCACUGAGAAGGGAGUUGGCCAAAUAUAAAAUUCCCCAGUCUGAAUCCUUCUCUUUCUUGUAAGAGCAGCUGGAAGACAAGCCACCCAGCUUAGUGUCCCCCCACCUCCCCACCUCGGCUCCCCAGACUUUCAGACCCAGGAGCGCACACAAGUACCGAUCCUGACCAUUAGGUGUCACUGUUGUACACGACAUGGACUGACCUGGGCUCCGGACGAUUGACCGCGCUCCAACUUGAUCCGCCUUUCGAUUUCUGCAUGACCGUGGGGUUCCCCAAAGUCUAGCGGUGCCCAGCCUGAGGCCAGUAACCAGUCAACAGUUGACACAAAAUACAGGUAAAGCCCACCUGGGCUUUGCACUCUGGCAGUUACAGCUCUUUGUGAUGGAGGAUGUAAAAGCAGUCGGUAUGGUGAGCAGCCGGAAGGGCAAAUAAAAAUAUUUUUUACCGUUGCAUUUUAAAAUUCAUAAUAAACUAUGUCAAAUGUACAGGAAAAUUACAGAGGACAUUACAAGAAACCCUUGAAUUGAAUUGCCAUGUCUGCUUCAGUGUUUUGCUUUGUUUUAUAUAUGUAUUCACAAACAUUGUAUAGCAUCGUUCUGUGUGUUUUCAAAUUUUAUGUAAAUAUUCCCAUUUCUAUUACAUCAUUUUGCAAGUUGC